CCCUUAGAUGUCCUGGGCCGCACGCGUGCUACACUGACACUUACACCGAGUUUUUCCAAUGCCGAAAGGCCAUUGGUAAUCAGCAAUAAGUGUCGUGAUGGGGAUAGAUCUUUGGAAUUAUUGAUCUUGAACGGGGAAUGCCUAGUAAUCGUAGGUCAUCAGCCUGCGAUGAUUACGUCCCUGCCCUUUGUACACACCGCCCGUCGCUCCUACCGAUUUCGAGUGGUUCGGUGAACCUUUCGGACCGGCAAUGCCUCGUGUUGCGCCGGAAAGUCAAGUAAACCAUAUCACUUAGAGGAAGGAGAANUCGUANCA
This 315-nucleotide ribosomal RNA is filed under the name uncultured eukaryote. Its description in RNAcentral is "partial 18S ribosomal RNA". It matches the Rfam family "Eukaryotic small subunit ribosomal RNA", at positions 1470 to 1796 of the family's 1831-position model. The record is from RNAcentral.